RNAcentral lists this ribosomal RNA (450 nucleotides) under uncultured bacterium. Its description in RNAcentral is "partial 16S ribosomal RNA". It matches the Rfam family "Bacterial small subunit ribosomal RNA", at positions 354 to 796 of the family's 1533-position model. The record is from RNAcentral.
GUGGGGAAUAUUGGACAAUGGGCGAAAGCCUGAUCCAGCCAUGCCGCGUGUGUGAAGAAGGUCUUCGGAUUGUAAAGCACUUUAAGUUGGGAGGAAGGGCAGUAAGUUAAUACCUUGCUGUUUUGACGUUACCGACAGAAUAAGCACCGGCUAACUUCGUGCCAGCAGCCGCGGUAAUACGAAGGGUGCAAGCGUUAAUCGGAAUUACUGGGCGUAAAGCGCGCGUAGGUGGUUUUGUAAGUUGGAGGUGAAAACCCCGGGCUCAAACUGGGAAAUGCCUCCAAAACUGCAUGACUAGAGUACGGUAGAGGGUAGUGGAAUGUCCUGUGUAGCGGUGAAAUGCGUAGAUAUAGGAAGGAACACCAGUGGCGAAGGCGACUACCUGGACUGAUACUGACACUGAGGUGCGAAAGCGUGGGGAGCAAACAGGAUUAGAAACCCCAGUAGUCC